UACGUAGGGUGCGAGCGUUGUUCGGAAUUACUGGGCGUAAAGCGCGCGUAGGCGGCUUUGUAAGUUAGAGGUGAAAGCCCGGGGCUCAACUCCGGAACUGCCUUUAAGACUGCAUCGCUUGAAUCCAGGAGAGGUGAGUGGAAUUCCGAGUGUAGAGGUGAAAUUCGUAGAUAUUCGGAAGAACACCAGUGGCGAAGGCGGCUCACUGGACUGGUAUUGACGCUGAGGUGCGAAAGCGUGGGGAGCAAACAGG
This 253-nucleotide ribosomal RNA is filed under the name uncultured bacterium. Its description in RNAcentral is "partial 16S ribosomal RNA". It matches the Rfam family "Bacterial small subunit ribosomal RNA", at positions 524 to 776 of the family's 1533-position model. The record is from RNAcentral.